This 1125-nucleotide long non-coding RNA is filed under the name Oryctolagus cuniculus (rabbit). RNAcentral describes it as "lncRNA (ENSOCUG00000034910.1)". Lineage: Eukaryota; Metazoa; Chordata; Mammalia; Lagomorpha; Leporidae. The record is from RNAcentral.
AUGAAAUCAUGGACAGGCACCGUGGGGCCUCUGAGGCCGCCCCCAGGUCACACUGUCACCGCAUCGCAAUGCAGUGCCAUCACGAACCGAUAUUGCAUCAGGCCCCAAGAUAUUUUAGGAAGCUCUCCGGCGGAGGCCGCACGCAGCCAUCAGGGCCACACUGCCAGACUCUGGGCUGCAGAGCCGCUGGACAGGUGGCAGUGGGGCCUCUCCAAUCUCCGCUCAGGGACCAUUCCCUCUCCCCAGCCCCAAGCCAGGCAGGCCCCCUGGGGGGCUUCCCCAGCCUUCUCCUCGCCCAGCUCCCAGGUGCACUGCCUGCGUUUCCCCUGGAGACUGCAGUGCCCCGGCCCACCUCCGGCCUCCUGGUGUAGUUCCUGUCUGCCUGCCCGUCCUGGGUCACCCGUGUUUGCUCAGAGGAGCUGCGAAUCAGCUGACUUCCCCAUGGAGUUGCAGUGGCUGCCACCCGCCCAGGCCUCCGACUUGGGUGUCGGCACGUGGCAGGCCAGGCCGACUUGCUGCACUUGGGUGAACUUUCCCCAGCCCCUCCAGAUCUCCCGGCACAACCCGGCACACCCCAGGCAGCCAGCAACCCGCGUAUCCCCUGCCCCCAGCCAGCGCCCCAUUCCCAGCCGCGCUCCUGCGAGCCAGCCGCCCGCUGACUCCAGUUCCUUCCGCUGCAUUGUUCUCGCUGCCGACGGCAGGGCCGGGAGGCCCACCUCCGCGCUCCCCGGCACGGUUCAUUCCCCACUGCUGGCUCCUGCAGUUUUAUUACAGCCUGCUGGUUUCCAAGAUGACAGACAGAAGGGUCCAGUGUGCACUGCACCGGUGAAGGCCUCUUUGUGUAGGAACGAAACCUUAGGGCAGAGUGGGCCCGGCUCCAGGGGCGGCCGUCACCCUGCUACAGGCGGGGACUGUGCUGGGACCCCCUGGGGCUGUGCCCUGCUGGCUGGCGGGCUGGCUGGCUCCCCAGGGGCUCUCCCGGAGCCAAGGCCGCCGCCCUCCAGGUGGAGGGUAGACUUGUCCCAUUCCAUUUGGAAGAGGGGAGGGGAAUGCAAAGGGGGAGGGGUCGCUUGCAGGAGACCUGUGCUAUACAGGACCUCCUCCCUUCCCGGAGUGGCUCUCUAA